Molecule: long non-coding RNA, 3389 nt
Organism: Pipra filicauda (Wire-tailed manakin)
Lineage: Eukaryota; Metazoa; Chordata; Aves; Passeriformes; Pipridae
Exons: 2
Source: RefSeq, a predicted model, not a curated record
GCCUUUGGCACCUGUAACAGAUACUUUCCUGGAAAAUGUCAUAUUUUCAAUACACAUUAACUCUCUGUGGAACAAGAGGCAAAUAUAAAUAGCAGUUGAAGGGAAAAGUCCAAGCUAUUUUGCAUGUACUUUUGAAUAAGGGUCAAUUUUAUUUCAAGCUCCUGGGAUGACCUUUAAGGUUUUCUUUAAGGCUUUCUAUAUGUUUCGGGACAGGAUGACAAGGAAAUGACAGGGGAGCUGACAGCUCUAUUAACUGCAGGAAAAGGAUGGGCGAGAGCUGUGUUGAAUCACCUCUGGAUAACAAGCUGGAUUUCAGAAUGCAGCCCCAAUUCUUGCAGGACAAAUCACGAUGUGACAGGAAGAAUUAGAAAGGCACCUCUCAGGAGCACAUACGUUCCAGUUCCAUACCUUCUACAUGCUGGCCUGGAAGCUCAGCUUUACAAAGCACAUGAACCUUUGACCAGGGGAAUUUCAGAUAAACUGCAACAACUGAAAACUUUGCAAAGCAAAAGCCCUCCUGCAUUCCAGGAGGUGAGAAAGUGUUCAGCACUAACACCUACACAAGUGACGAUCACCAGGAGGUUGGACUCAUUUGCAGUGACUUCUGCUCAUGGACCUUUUGGCUGCCUGAGUUGAACAAGGAUGUUGCAAAUUAGAACCUGCUCACAACUUUGUCAGUGAGUCUGUUUCUGCUGUAUUUAAACUGCCUUUGCAGUGGUUGCACGGGAGAGCCAGUCUAAAGGAUUUUUCCUGUUACAGAGAGAAUGGGGUACUAUGUUAUUCUGGCUCUGUUAUAUGCAGAAUAUGGAGAGCUGAAGUCUAGUUCUUCUCCCUUUGGUCCCUUCUUGUUACCUUUUAAAGUUCCAUUCAGGGUAAUUUAAAACUUUUUUUUUUUUAAGUUAGUGCAGUACUAAAUGACCAUUUCUAGCACAAAAUGGCCAAAGUAAUUGCCCAGGGAAGUUGGUGUGACUUUCAGAGGUUAGAGGGCUACAUUCUUACUGACAAAAGAGAUACGGGUUACACAGACAUCAGAUUAUUUGCAUGGUGCAUUAACAGCAUGAAAGGAAAAGGCCUGGAUGGUAGGGUUUUAGUGAGAAUGCAGCCAAUCAUCAUGGUUCACUGGAAGAGUUCGUCUUCUAGCUUUCUAGCCUGUUUCAUGUAGUAUUUGCCUUACUCUUCAGGUGCUGUUUCUCUUGCUGGAUAUUCAAGCAGCAAAGGAACAUCAGCAAAUACGUGAAAUUUUUUCUGAUACCAUCUAUAUGAGGGACAGGACAUUUCUGUGCGUGCACCUCUGUUAAACCUUCCUAUAUUACAUACCCUUCCUAAUGACCUGUAGUAUGUUCAGCCCAACUAAUACAAUGAAACUCAGACUAUACAGAAAUAGCACAUACUUGAGAAGUCACCUCCUAUGCUUCAGUCAGUGGCAACAAGGAUAGACAGCAUCCCUCCUAGGUCUUAGCAGCUGCCUGUAAAAGAAGGGACACCCCAGACAAUUUAUCUGAGCAUCUGAAGUGCAGAUUUUCUACUUUGGAAAAGGGGUCUCGUAGAAUACCUUGCAAAGACAUGAUUGUUCCCCCUUUUGCAAUGCAAACGUUAGAUCUGGGUGUUAGACUGAAGUUACAUCUUUAAGGCUAAUCUUUGCUCCUUUAUAUGAGGCAGGAAAUUCCAAAUCUGUGAUCAAAGCAACACACAUACUUCAUAGCCCAUUUAACUUUUUGUUUUUCAAACAGAUGGAUUAGGACAAAACAAGAAGUGCACAUUUUAAGAAGACUGGAUAUUAUAUUAAUGACAAGUCCACGAGAGUAUGAACAAGCUGAUGCAGUUUAAUAAAAAGCAGAAUUUCCUAGACUCGCAUAAACUAUUAGCUCAUUGACUAAAAUAGACCUGCUGUCUCUGUUUGCUGUUGAAGCCCAGCUGCUCUGCUGAUCUCAACAAAAGAACAAUUGCAGCUACAAUAAAAACCCUGGGAUCUUGAAAGACAUGGGACGAUAUCAGCUGUUAAACAGGAUAGAAAUAACACAGCAGUGAAAUUAAUAAAUACAAACAAGUUUAAGGUGUUCUCUUCAGAAACACUGUCCUAUGGGUUAUAGAUCUAAAGAUUAGCUUUUAACAGUUCUGACAUACAAGGAACCCAUGCAAGCACUUACACAUCUCCCCUGUGUAAGUGCUUCAGUUCUUGUUCCUGGCUACAUAAAUCACAGGCAGGGUAAACGCAUUACGAGUAAAGAGAAGGAAAUAAUAUGAUCUCCUAGCAGAGAGAGCAACAGCUUUUCACUUACGUGCCAAAAUGCCACACAGCUAUUAGUAUGGAAGAAGAUACGACUUCUUUUAGAAACAGUCUAUAGCAAAUUCACAUUUUAUCUACUAAAUCCUUGGCUUCUUACAGUCUUUUAGCACGUUUCUCCUAAUAACAUCCCUCUCAAGACUAGACCGUGCUUUUCUGCUUUUCUCCCAUUUUGUAAGCACAGAAGAAAGACAAAGCAGGUACAGAUGCACAAAAAAAGAACUAAAUGUCCAAAUCCCAGCGUGCCAGCCACAAAGCCCCAGGAUAUCCAGUUACACUGGGCAAAAGCCAUAGUGCUGAAAGAUAGAAAAUGUCUCUGUUCUGAUAUAAUUUGACAGUAAAGAAGAGUUGACAGAGUCCAUAUAGAUGCUCCUGACAUAUAACAACUCCCUUAGGAUAGUGGAUACACAUGAAAGUGGGAGACAAACAGAUAAUACAACAUUGACCACGUUGUCCAAAUUCGGUGAUCACAAAUCAGUUUUCUGUUGACAAGACUCAUUUUUCACAGCAGCAUCUUUGUCUCCAAGCCUUUGUCGAACAGUUCUAACUUCAUCAGUGCAUUUGGGAAUACAUUUAACAAAAUUGUCUUUUGCAGAAGUGAGAUGGUACCAAAGAAAUGCAAUUUUGAAAAACAACAACACAGAGGGAAGGAGAAAAGCUAUCUAGAAGAACUAGUGAAGAUGGCCCUCAAUUUCCUGAUAAAAUGCCCCAGUGCACUGUUACUUGCCUAUUCUCUUUAGGAAUUACAGGAAAAUGAAAUUACCAGAGAUUUGCAAUGUGUGCAACACCAUUUCAUUAGAAGGAUAAGAAGUCCAAAUUUUCUUAUUAUCAACAAAUUAUGUCAGUAUUAAGACUGAUCAAGACCUUUGAUCUUGAAUUCUUCAUGAAAUCAGAUGCACAAGGUACAGUUACGUGAAGUAGCAAGUCCCCACAGUUUCAUUGGAGACUGUGUCUAAACACAUGACAAUAUCAGAAUUCCUAAUGUUUUCUUCUAAAUAAUUAAAAUCCUUUUCCUAUACAUCAUUAAAACCUUAAACCCCUGCUUAGAUUAUGUGACAAAAAACUUCAUGGCAGAAAAUACCAAAAAUAAAUUUACAUGUGUCCU